AUAAGUGGGGCUUGGAUUUGUGUAGGUGACUUUAAUGAUCUUACUAGCGAGCAGGAAAAGUGGGGAGGAAGGCUAAAAGCAAUCAGGAAAAUCUUGAAUUUUUAGAAACAAAUCUCAGACUGUUGCUUAAUAGACCUGGGUUUCAAUGGAUCUGAGUACACUUGGUGUAAUAAAUGCACUAAUAAAGCUCAUGUCAAGGAGUAGUUGGACAAAGCUCUAGCAAAUGUAGCUUUACGAGAAGCAUUUCCCAAAGCUCAGGAAGGUGUGCCCUCCAGGGUGGAUGCCCUCAUCAACACUUUCUUUAUCUUCCGUUCUAUCUCGUGAUGCAGCCACGUCUGGACGAUCUAACAGUACCCCUCCUGCUGCCAACUAAUCUGAUUUCCAUGACCGGGGAGGAAUUGCCUAUGCGCUGUCUUUGUUUCAUUCCCUUGUUUCCUUUUAGCUUUUUGGUGUUUCUUUUGACUCUUGCUGUUUAUCUUUUGUCCUUUGCUUGGACUCUUGUUUGGUCGAACUCCUACGCUGUUGUGGCUCUUUUAUUUGAAUGCUUCUCUUGGUCCAAAAAACAAAACUCUCUUCA
Long non-coding RNA from Neltuma alba, 577 nucleotides. RefSeq lists it as uncharacterized. NCBI's taxonomy places the organism in Eukaryota, Viridiplantae, Streptophyta, Magnoliopsida, Fabales, Fabaceae. The record is from RefSeq and is a predicted model, not a curated record. The transcript has 2 exons.